RNAcentral lists this ribosomal RNA (329 nucleotides) under uncultured eukaryote. RNAcentral describes it as "partial 18S ribosomal RNA". It matches the Rfam family "Eukaryotic small subunit ribosomal RNA", at positions 1470 to 1796 of the family's 1831-position model. The record is from RNAcentral.
CCCUUAGAUGUCCUGGGCCGCACGCGCGCUACACUGAGUGUCUGAGAUACGAGUCUGCCUGGUCCGGCAAGGUCUAGGUAAUCGCUAAAAGACACAUCAUGCUUGGGAUAGAUUAUUGCAAAUAUUAAUCUUGAACGAGGAAUUCCUAGUAAGCGCAAGUCAACAGCUUGCGUUGAUUACGUCCCUGCCCUUUGUACACACCGCCCGUCGCUACUACUGAUUGGAUGUUUAAGCGAGGUUCUCGAACUGCUAGCGACUUAGCUUCGGUGAGGUCGCAGUGUGAGAAGUGAACCGAGCUUUGGUGUCUAGAGGAAGUAAAAGUCGUAACA